This 24-nucleotide non-coding RNA is filed under the name Gossypium hirsutum (cotton). The record is from RNAcentral. Lineage: Eukaryota; Viridiplantae; Streptophyta; Magnoliopsida; Malvales; Malvaceae.
UGAAAUAACUUUGAAUGUCACAAA